RNAcentral lists this ribosomal RNA (460 nucleotides) under uncultured bacterium. Its description in RNAcentral is "partial 16S ribosomal RNA". It matches the Rfam family "Bacterial small subunit ribosomal RNA", at positions 338 to 795 of the family's 1533-position model. The record is from RNAcentral.
CCUACGGGAGGCAGCAGUGAGGAAUAUUGGUCAAUGGACGAGAGUCUGAACCAGCCAAGUAGCGUGAAGGAUGACUGCCCUAUGGGUUGUAAACUUCUUUUAUAAAGGAAUAAAACGAGGCACGUGUGCCUUUUUGCAUGUACUUUAUGAAUAAGGAUCGGCUAACUCCGUGCCAGCAGCCGCGGUAAUACGGAGGAUCCGAGCGUUAUCCGGAUUUGUUGGGUUUAAAGGGAGCGUAGAUGGGUUGUUAAGUAAGUUGUGAAAGUUUGCGGCUCAACCGUAAAAUUGCAAUUGAUACUGGCAGUCUUGAGUACAGUUGAGGUAAGCGGAAUUCGUGGUGUAGCGGUGAAAUGCUUAGAUAUCACGAAGAACCCCGAUUGCGAAGGCAGCUUACUAAACUGUGACUGACAUUGAUGCUCGAAAGUGUGGGUAUCAAACAGGAUUAGAUACCCGUGUAGUC